This 253-nucleotide ribosomal RNA is filed under the name uncultured bacterium. RNAcentral describes it as "partial 16S ribosomal RNA". It matches the Rfam family "Bacterial small subunit ribosomal RNA", at positions 524 to 776 of the family's 1533-position model. The record is from RNAcentral.
UACGAAGGGGGCUAGCGUUGCUCGGAAUCACUGGGCGUAAAGCGCACGUUGGCGGAUUGCUAAGUCAGGGGUGAAAUCCUGGAGCUCAACUCCAGAACUGCCUUUGAUACUGGCGAUCUCGAGUUCGGGAGAGGUGAGUGGAACUGCGAGUGUAGAGGUGAAAUUCGUAGAUAUUCGCAAGAACACCAGUGGCGAAGGCGGCUCACUGGCCCGAUACUGACGCUGAGGUGCGAAAGCGUGGGGAGCAAACAGG